This 405-nucleotide ribosomal RNA is filed under the name uncultured bacterium. RNAcentral's name for it is "partial 16S ribosomal RNA". It matches the Rfam family "Bacterial small subunit ribosomal RNA", at positions 30 to 526 of the family's 1533-position model. The record is from RNAcentral.
AUUGAACGCUGGCGGCAGGCUUAACACAUGCAAGUCGAACGAGUGGCGGACGGGUGAGUAAUGCUUGGGAAUCUAGCUUAUGGAGGGGGAUAACUAAGGGAAACUGUAGCUAAUACCGCGUACCCUAGGAUGAGCCCAAGUGGGAUUAGGUAGUGGGUGGGGUAAAGGCUCACAAAGACGACGAUCUCUAGCUGGUCUGAGAGGAUGACCAGCCACACGUGGACUGGGACACGGCCCAGACGCCUACGCGGGGCAGCAGUGGGGAUGAUUGCGCAAUGGGGGCAACCUGACGCAGCCAUGCCGCGUGAAUGAAGAAGGCCUUCGGGGUGUAAAGUUCUUUCGGUAGCGAGGCGUUAACUACAGAAGAAGCACCGGCUAACUCCGUGCCAGCAGCCGCGGUAAUAC